CUCUAAACGGUUCCCUUUUCAUAGACUUUACCGUAUACAUAUAUUAUACAUAUACUCAUUUGUAUUCAUUCUUAUUAUUUCUCUCUUGUUAUCUCCAUUUUAUUCACGCAUUCCAAAUAUUCGUGCUUCUUACGAUGUCGAUGAGAAAGUAGAACGAGAUUAAAGUAAUUAUGUACCUCGUUUAGAUUCUAAUUUAUCGAUGUUGUCAUUUAUAAAUAUUUCAAACUUUUCCAAAUGCAUCAAACACACAUACACAUACACGCACGCGCACGCGCACUCACACGCAUAUACUAUACAUACAGACCACAAUAAAUGAUUGUGCCGCAUGUGUUUUGUAAACUCUCGCCCCCUCCUCCCACCUCCCGCCCCAAGACACGAGUUUUUUGAGAAAACAGUUUUACAGUUACACGUGUCUUGUUAGCGAAUACAAAGUUUCUUUUGGUCGUUCAGUGAUUUUUAUAAUUCUCUCCUGUAAAUAUCCUUAGACGUAAGGAUCGUACAUAUCCUUAGCAAGCGGUUACGCGAAAUUAAUAGUAAUUUUCUUUUCUUUAGUAUUGUGUGUUGCCUUUAUUACAUAAAAUUACGUUAUCCUUUUUAAUAUUCGAAAACGUUGCCGCCGUAUGCACGAGAUUAUGCGAGACCUUAUUUUCUAUAACACAGGCGACACGACCAGACAGAAAAUAGUCUUUCCGUGUUCUAACGACGAAUGUUCGAACCAUCGCUUACAUCUAUCUUUCUUUUUAUGAUCCCAUGGCAAUGAAAUUGCACAUUAACGCACUAAUCACUUUCCUCGGUUGAUUCAAAGAUUUGACGAAAGCUAGCUUGAACGAUGCCCUUUUGCGUUGGCUAACGUUCGAAACUCAAUUUAACCACCACCUACUAUUUGAUCUCAUCGAAAAAAUUCGUCCUUUUGCACUGGCAUUGGUAUACUAUACUUCAUACUAUUACAGAUACAUAUUUGUACAUAGUUUCUCCAACCAAUGAAUUCAUCUCUUUCAUAGAAAUCUGUUCCUCUUAAUAAAAGAGGGAAGAAAGAUGAAUGUUGUUGGUUAAUUUCUGACAUUAUUAAGAAAGGAAAUUGACAACGAUGUCGAUAAAAUAGAAGAAAGAAAGAAAAAGUAGUGGGAAAAAGAAAAUUAAAUACCAACAGGAAGUGAAAAUACACAACAUAUGUCG
Molecule: long non-coding RNA, 1176 nt
Organism: Bombus terrestris (buff-tailed bumblebee)
Lineage: Eukaryota; Metazoa; Arthropoda; Insecta; Hymenoptera; Apidae
Exons: 2
Source: RefSeq, a predicted model, not a curated record